Molecule: long non-coding RNA, 1059 nt
Filed under: Strigops habroptila (Kakapo)
Lineage: Eukaryota; Metazoa; Chordata; Aves; Psittaciformes; Psittacidae
Description: lncRNA (ENSSHBG00005010186.1)
Source: RNAcentral
UAUAUCCCUAAAUUUUAUUGCAUCAAAUGAAGAUGACAGUGGUUUGAGACAAUAACAUCCUCUUUUACACUUCAAAUCACAUUUUCAAAGAACAGAUGGCCUUAGUUGACUUUUGAGUCAACUACUCACGAUAACAGUAACAACUGGUUUGAAAAGUGUGUGAAACAAAAGGAAUAUAAAUAAACCACAGGAGAAAAAGAAAAUAAAAUAGCCAUGGUAAUUAACGAAGUAUCUCUUUCCUGCCAGUUUGACACAAAUAAACCAUUCUAAAACCCCACUACUAAGUUUUUUCCACCCCAGUGUUUUCAUAUUAUGCUGUGCUACCAGAUUUUAAUGUUAUUAUAUACAAGCAAUAAUAAACAUCCAUAUGGUGUACCGACAAACUCUUUUAAAGUAAUUGAUUAUUAUCCCUAUUUAUAUAGUUCCCAUCAUGGUGAGACAUUGUGUAACUCUGCCACAAGAAAUAUAGCAAGAUAAGAGGAAAAUGUUAAGCUGGUGAAGAAAAAAGCCUGCUGAAGUUCCUCACACGCAUUAAAAUCUGUGGAAGUCCUUCUAAAACCCUGAGUAAAGACUGCAGGGGACAACCAUCAUAAAUAAUUUCAUUCUAAUUUUACACAUUAGAAUAGUUAAAGAAUAAUAUGUUUUCCUAAAUCUAAGUUUGCGAGAGUAAGAAAUAAUGAAUACCAAGAUGAGAUGUAAAACAAGAUGAAAAGCAUAGUUUUACCUUCUUGAGAAUUACAUUUGGCAGUAAAUUGUACAGAUGAUAUGGAAUAACCUUAUGCAUACUAAUAGUUCCAACUAUUCACGCAUGCAUGACUGCUCACAUGGGCAAGCCCAAACACAUUCAUGCCUUUGAAUACUGGUCUAUAGAAUAAUAAGCAUUAAGAAAAAUGAGAUAGCUUUUCAAAACGAGGGUUUUUUUCCUGAAGUGAAAUAGUCUUCCUCAAGAAUGUGUGGGAUACAGUUUCUGUGGAAUCAACAACUCAUCUAAACAUAUCUUCAUCUCAAACAGUAAAUAGGUAUUUUGCUAACAGCUGUGCUGACUGAAAAAAAAAAAAA